GCGGUCGUGGCGGAAUGGCAGACGCGCUAGCUUGAGGGGCUAGUGGAGGAAACUUCGUGGAGGUUCGAGUCCUCUCGACCGCA
Molecule: transfer RNA, 83 nt
Filed under: Sporolactobacillus sp.
Lineage: Bacteria; Bacillati; Bacillota; Bacilli; Caryophanales; Sporolactobacillaceae
Also listed under: 1 other name
Description: tRNA-Leu
Rfam family: tRNA
About the family: Transfer RNA (tRNA) molecules are approximately 80 nucleotides in length. Their secondary structure includes four short double-helical elements and three loops (D, anti-codon, and T loops). Further hydrogen bonds mediate the characteristic L-shaped molecular structure. tRNAs have two regions of fundamental functional importance: the anti-codon, which is responsible for specific mRNA codon recognition, and the 3' end, to which the tRNAs corresponding amino acid is attached (by aminoacyl-tRNA synthetases). tRNAs cope with the degeneracy of the genetic code in two manners: having more than one tRNA (with a specific anti-codon) for a particular amino acid; and 'wobble' base-pairing, i.e. permitting non-standard base-pairing at the 3rd anti-codon position.
Source: RNAcentral